RNAcentral lists this ribosomal RNA (478 nucleotides) under uncultured bacterium. RNAcentral's name for it is "SSU rRNA". It matches the Rfam family "Bacterial small subunit ribosomal RNA", at positions 26 to 518 of the family's 1533-position model. The record is from RNAcentral.
AGGAUGAACGCUGGCGGCGUGCUUAACACAUGCAAGUCGAACGGUGAAGGAAGAGCUUGCUCCUCUGGAUCAGUGGCGAACGGGUGAGUAACACGUGAGUAACCUGCCCUUGACUCUGGGAUAAGCGUUGGAAACGACGUCUAAUACCGGAUACGAGCUUCAGCCGCAUGGCUAGGAGCUGGAAAGAACUUCGGUCAAGGAUGGACUCGCGGCCUAUCAGGUAGUUGGUGAGGUAACGGCCCACCAAGCCUACGACGGGUAGCCGGCCCUGAGAGGGUGACCGGCCACACUGGGACUGAGACACGGCCCAGACUCCUACGGGAGGCAGCAGUGGGGAAUAUUGCACAAUGGGCGCAAGCCUGAUGCAGCAACGCCGCGUGAGGGACGACGGCCUUCGGGUUGUAACCUCUUUUAGUAGGGAGAAGCGAAGUGACGGUACCUGCAGAAAAGCACCGGCUAACUACGUGUCAGCAGCCGC